GGACAGGUGGCCGAGUGGCUGAAGGCACCGGUCUCGAAAACCGGAGAACGGGCAACCGUUUCGUGAGUUCGAAUCUCACCCUGUCCG
RNAcentral lists this transfer RNA (87 nucleotides) under Gemmatimonadaceae bacterium. RNAcentral's name for it is "tRNA-Ser". It matches the Rfam family "tRNA". Rfam says of the family: Transfer RNA (tRNA) molecules are approximately 80 nucleotides in length. Their secondary structure includes four short double-helical elements and three loops (D, anti-codon, and T loops). The record is from RNAcentral. RNAcentral also lists the same sequence under 2 other names. Lineage: Bacteria; Pseudomonadati; Gemmatimonadota; Gemmatimonadia; Gemmatimonadales; Gemmatimonadaceae.